GGAUAGCUCAGUUGGGUAGAUUGUGGUGCUGAUAAUGCCAAGGUUGCAGGUUCGAUCCCCUUUUGGGACA
Molecule: transfer RNA, 70 nt
Filed under: Podarcis lilfordi (Lilford's wall lizard)
Lineage: Eukaryota; Metazoa; Chordata; Lepidosauria; Squamata; Lacertidae
Description: tRNA.Ile
Source: RNAcentral